AUUUUUUUUGUAGAAGAAGCCCUUUAAAAACUCGUGAAAGAAAAAUACAUGUAGCAGGUACUCAAAUUUAAAUUUGGUAACAAAAGUGAAUCCAAUUUGUGAAAAAUCAGAAUAAAUGACUGUUUGCAGCAUAAGGUACAUAAUAAAAACUAUGGUAUAUAAUAUACUAACGAGGAAAGAACUCUUUAAUUCAGUAAAUGUUGGCAUACUUCUCUAAACUGUCAGCUGUCCCCUCCCAAGGUUUAACAAAAUCUUCCUUCUCAAAAACAAAUCCUGAAAUCAAGAUCCCAACAGCAAGGCACUGAAAAAUGGAAAAUAGAAAACGUUAUGGUCACUCGCAUACUGCUCUUUCACGAAGUGCACAAACAAAAGCAUUACAGCAUAUCUAUCUUAUAAAUUAUCAGCUACUAAAAGUUCACCUUCAAUAAAAUUCUAUAAAAAGAGAACUCACUCCUUGCUUAUGAUUAUGCCCAAGAGGUAUAAAUUCAAAUUCCUCAAUACUGCCAAUUCUUCUAGCCAUUUUGCUUCCUGUGAGUCCAGCUCCAGCAGCUGCCACAGUAUGGCCACUAAACAUGUCAGCAAUGAUUUUAACGACUGAGAGAAGGAAGACAUUGUGAAAGGCAUAAGUCUACGAAGUUGGCAAUAGCAAGAGAAUGGAGAAAUGGAAUAUGAGAAGAAAGGUGGCUGUAAACACAUCAUAUGUUUUUCCAACCUUAUAGACAGACAGAAAAAGAUAUUUUGAUUCUGGUUACAAGUACUUGGAUAUAAAACUCAGGAGUACAAUCCAUUUUCUCUAGAUUCAAUGGACAAUGUACCCAGGCAAUUGGAAAGAUGUUAAUCUAAACUACGCUAUGACAUCCUGACGUCCACUGAAUCUACAUGGAGUCCAGAAGUCUUAAUAUCACAUCAUGUUUAAGAAUUUUAGUAAAAACAAUCUAGGAAGAGCAUAGAGGAUAAUUUCACAUACAGUGAAAGAAAUAUAAUCAGCCGAAGAGAAAAAAAUUGAAGGGAAGAACGUAUCUAAAUAUGUAGAAAUUGCAAGUCCAAUGAUGACUGGCCAAAGGUGAUUUUUGCUUCUAAGUUGAUCCCCUGGAGGAAAUUUUAUCUUGCGGACAGUACUCAUGGACAUAUGCCUUGAAUGACACCCCUCAUAAAUCCAAUAUGUUUUUUCUCCUCAGUCUCCCCUCUCUUGCUUCCCACAAAUCAGAGAAAUUAACUAGAACAGCUGAUUGAAUACAAUAUGUGAGUGUGUGCGUGUCCAUGCAUGUGUGUGUGUGCGUGAGAGAGAGAGGGGGAGAGAGCAACUGUGUUAAUAGUUAGAGAAGAGAGUGCGAAAGUGAGUACAGCACAAUGCAAUGGUUUCAUCCACAUUAAUCAGGCAUAAAAACAGUGGAAAAUCCAGAAGAGGCCACACAUUUUACUGGAUGAGUGUUUUCCAACUAAAAAAUUUAUUCUUUGAAAAAGAAGCAGAUGGAUCAAUUAAUAGAUAAGAGUUAACGGUGGACAGACAGUGAUUACAUACAAGCUAUCUUCCAAUCCUGAGUAGACACAAUUUGCUUAGGAAAUUGUAAACAAAAACAGCACUUCCUACUCACCGUGAUGGUGAUACAGGGUGGAAAGACACUUUACUUUCAUCUAGAAGAAGAAUUGAGGGACAUAUUCGCCACAAACACAUUCCUUCAAAGAGAUGCAAAGCAACGAUCUCAAAAUUGAUUAAAAUUGACAGCUUUAAUCUUAGUUUUCAAUUUUUAGGCAAAAACUUCGUCAGAUUCCAAAAAUUUUGUUGUGCCCAAUCCCCACCCCUCCUGUUUACUUUGUCUAGUGCAGCGCCACGUGUUGUCCAAGAUGUUGUGAUUAUCAAUAGAUAUUCACUGAAGUGCCACAAGACUUAUUAUACAUAGAAUAUAAGAGGAUAUAUCAAGGCAUACAAGAACAUACACAUAAGACAGACGUAAAGUAUUAAAUAAAAUUGACCUUAGGAGCAUAUGUUUUUUGGUGCUAUUCAUACCUUAUAUUUAAUGUGGAAUUUUUUAUUUCGUUAUUAUGUUUCUACUCUAUUUUACUCACUUGCAUUCGUACACUAAAACUUGAUUUUCUUAGGGUAAAAGCUUCAAAGUUGCAAAUAUUAACACCUACUUCCACACCAUCCCCUAGAAAAGAAAAGAAAAAUACAAAACAGAGAGAAUCUAAUGUAGAAAAAAAUACAUGGCCUCAAUGAAAGAGACAUGAAUCUCGGAGUUAUAUUAGUCUGAUUUUUUUGGGUCAUCUCAGUUGGAUCGACCUGAUUUUUGGGAUUUCUACAUUAUAUCCGGAAUCCAAGUUACCCAACUUUGCUCCUCAUAUCCUCACCACGUUCAUUACCAUUAGCCUAGAUCUUCUCUUCUCAUUCAUUUCACAUGAGUUCUCUUUAAAUCUCCAUUUUUUCAGCCAAGAAUGAGAAUUUGCUCCAAGGUCGAAUAGAGGACGGGCUAAAAGUGCAUCUGUACGAACCAGACAAUGUGAAAAGUAUAAACCAGACUUCACUGUAAUGAACCUAUCCUCAUCUUCUGCCUCUUCUUCCUCAUCUCUUCCUCAACUUCCGCCACAAAAAACUGGCUACUACCAAUUUAGGAAAUUCUAGUGCGUCUCUAAACAUGUAAUUGUAGGGAAUCCUCGUUUUUUUCUCACAAAAUGAGUAGCUUACUUGUCAGUCAAAAUAAAUCAUGACUCUUCGAUAUCAGUACUUGAUGCACAGUCACACUGAGUAAAACUGCCACCUCGCUUUUCUAGGCAAGCACUAAACAACGAGGUCUCGUACAGAAAUUGAGUUAACUUUAUUGAUAUUAAAUCCAGGCUCUAAUGAGAAAACUCUGGAGCUAAGCCAUUUGACUUGCACCGUAUACUUGUUAAAAGAGUCACAAAAGAAGACACACUCAGUCCUUGGAUUUUUCCAUCGGAGGACUAUCAGCAAGUUUUCACACUUUUCUUGAUAACAUGAAUAUUCUAUGAGGCAGGGUCUAGUUUCAGAUGGAGGAAAGGGCAAGAGAAGAAUUAAAUAAGUCCUUGGAUGGCAUGUUUCCAGUAGCAUUCACCCACAGUAUAAUACGGCAACCACCUUAAAAGGCACCAUGAACCAUGAAGAAACUAGCUAUUUUCUCCCUGUUGAAUAUAAAUUAUUCUUUCCAACAAAAAGUAUCAUGAAUGUGGAUAUCACAUCAUUUAUUCAAGAGAAAAAAAUAGGCAGAAAGCAAGUGCGUCAAAAUCACCUCCAAAUGAGGCUGCAACAGCCACGGAACCGGCGACUGACCCAGCAGCACUGGCCAUCGCAGCAAAACCACUUGCCCCAAUCACAGGCAUAAGAGUUCCUAAGGUGGGUGCCAGGGCACCAAACCCAGCAGCAAUUGCAGGCGCAGCUAGGCCUGUCAAGUAAUCAAGAAAAAUAUAACUACACAGGCAGAAAUAUAUGGACAGAGACCAUGAAACCAAAGUUUCCUGUUUCCUUUUAUAUAAGUAUGAAAUGCAAUACCUCCCGUGAUAGCUAACAGGGUUCCACCAGUAACUGCAGCUGCUCCAAUAAUACCACCACGUUUCCAUUUAGACCAGGUGCUUUUAUCAGAGUCCCUGUGUUCUGCUUGAGCUUCUUCCUUCGCAGCAGCCAUUGCAGAACACGCAACCAUGAUCUCCAUGGCUUCCUAAAAGCAUCAAUUUCAACAUGAUAAGCCUGGAUGUACUGAGAGUAGCACAUAAACGAAACGAAUACCAACGGUCACAGGAUCCCACGAUAGUCCAGAUAUUUUUCUUUGGGUAAUAAAACCACAGAACUAUCUAAGAAGUGAUAAGCAGACACGAGAUCUGGAAAAUUUACGUGAUUCACUUGGCAACAACAAAACAAUUAAAGUUGUCAAUCUUCAAGGGGAGAGACAAUUAAUCAUGAGAGAUUUACAAGCCCGGUAAGUCCAUAUUGAUACCCACGGGAAACUAAUUUCUUCAGAAGAGUUUUGUCUUCAAAGUUAUGCGAUCCGAAAUGAAACCACUAUACGUGGGUUCGAGUUGCAACCAUGUUCCUGUAAUAUGAUUUGAUUUUUUUUCUAUUUUCAGAUCUAAGUAUCAUACUGACAGAAAUAACCUUAUCCAAUAACAGCAUUUUAAACAAUAUAUUAUGGAUUAGGUGGCACUGGUAAAAGACUAGGAUCACUAAAUAUAUGAGAGCUCUGUCAUGUUACUAUUCAUUUUUUCUAUAUAAUUAUAUAGCACUAUCAAUCACUAUCUCCUAUUAAAACAACACCUCUAUGUUUUCGUUUAAUUCUAUUCCAUGUUUUUACUCAUCCUUUUUCUUCUUAUUUCUUCUUACCUUGCUUUUUAUUUUUCAUUUCUAGUACAACAUGUCAUACUUUUUGUCUUCACCGAGUAACCUAUGGAAUAAACUAAGUUCCGCAAUCCUGACAUGAACAUUUUCCUGUGCUCUUAAUGUAUCUCGUCGAAUGUUCAUGACUGUGCUCAUUUCAAUAGUUCUCCCAAAGAGAAAGAAGCACGGAUGCUUCUGUUAAAAUGGAUCAGAGAAGAAUUCUCAAAGUGGUGGUUGAUGACGAUCAUCAAAUAUUCAAGCAAGCAAUUUAUAAAAUAGAAGUAGACAAGUAGCAUGACGUCCUUUCUUCAAUGCCAGUUUUCUGCUGAAUAUGAUAUAUGGAAAUGAAACACACUCUUGAAGGAAAUUAAUUCAACCGUACUUGCAGCUACACCUCACAACAUUUGAACUGAACAAAAAAAAAAGCUUCUCCUUCCUACGAUCGUUAGUAAGAGUAAGAUAAUAAUAAAUUGAACGAUGUGGAAAAUGGUACAGGUAAAACGAUCAAAGGAUAAUUUAAUGGACACAUUGAUCUUCAAUAAAACGCCCAAGCGUACACGAAAAUGACAGUUAAAGCAGAGACAAACCAUUUUUGUCCAUUUGACAUUGAGCCAUGUGGCUAGCAACCUUAGGGCAACACGGAGUCGAGCAUCAUAACCUUUCCUGUGCCUCGACUGUUCUUUGCGAUCCUGUGGCAGAUCAGCUACACAUGCAGAAAGAAGUUCAUAUAAUACUGCGACUUUCUGCUGAUUAUUUUUCACUGUAUCUUCUUGCAACAAUGAGUUCUCUUGAGAUAAUCCAUCUGCUUGAGAAAGAAAUUCAUCUUUUACAGGCAACUUCUGAUAACUCAGUUGCUGAAUUGCCUCUGAAAGUUUGGACGCCCCAUCUUCUCCAAGGUUUGUAGUACUUGAUGAAACCUCCUUGUGAUGUUCUUGCCUAUAUUUCAAAUAUUCCUCACUAAUUCCUUCAACAGAAGAUAAGUCCUCUUUCAAACUCAUUUCCAUAGCAUCCACACCUUUUCUUAAAGCAAGUGCCUGCUCCAAUCUUUCCGCAGAAAUUUCAUCACUUUCUUCAAAGAGUAUCCUCAGGAACUAGAUGACAUAAAAGAAUCAUAAGAUAAAAAUGUAAGUGCUGAUCAUUGGAGGCAAAAAGCAUGAAAAAAUCACAAGUGCUGAUUUAUUACCACUCAUAGAAAGUAGAAAAAAAUUUGAGAAGAGUCAUGCUCAGAUGUGGAACGAAUAAAUGUCAUCAAUUGAUAUUGUGACUAAUGAAACUCUGCGUAGCAGAAAUUUCAAGAAACCUAUAGCUGUUUAAGAUCAUAUUGACUCAUUCAUGAAGACAUACUAACCCAUCUUCUCAAUAUUUACGACUGAGAUAAGCUUUAAUCCCGACUGGGUGGAGGAGGGGUGACGGGAGAUCGUCCCUGCGGUGGGCAGCGUGGAGCGGAACGCCACCAGAGUCGAUCUGCCACUUUCACUCUGGAUCCUCAAGCGGAAGAAGAAGCCUUCUUCUUUUAAUUCGUAUAUAAUGUAUUCUUUUUGGAACCCUUCCUGGACUGUUUAUGUAAAUCUCUGAGCUGACCCGGCAUAGCAAUGUUCAGUAAAUGACAUAGAACACAGAAGUUGUUGACUUUUUUCAAUUCAAACUUAACAUGUUUGGACGUUAUUAUGAAAAUUUAUAAUCAAUUUGACAGAAAAACUUAAGGUGGCAUUGCAUAUGGAAUCACGGGACUGGUGCUAAUAUUUUGACUGCGAAACUAGCAUCCCAGAAAAUGGAUUGAAUUCCCCAUUAAGUCGAUCAAUAAUGAUGGGUUAAAGUUAUUUUCCCCUUAAAUAGACCAAUUUUCGCUACUUUUUCCGUUAAUUUCUUGUAAAAUUUUUUAUGAUACGAAUCCCUGCACUAGAAGUCGAAUAAGAUAGAAUCGACCAGACUGAAGAAAGAGGAGAAAACGGAUAUAGCCGUAAAGGAACAUAAGGGGAAACUACAAAGGAAAAGACGUACGGCUCCAAUGUGAUUCUUGGCCGGAGAAGAAGCUGCAGUCUCCUCCAAGCCAGGCCAAGCCAUGGGAUCAAUCUCCAAGAACCUGAAGGAGGAAAACGAUCGAUCAAAACCCAUAGCGAAUAGCCAGAUGCAAGAAGCCUCCCAUGAUUUCCGGCAAUCUUUCUACGUCAACUCUCCACUUCUUCAGAAACCAACAGCAAGAGCGCAGACCUGAAGACGGGGCGGAGAAGGCCUCGGGUUUCAUGAGUCCAUAACGCACCAUCGCCUUCGCUGCUCCCGCCGCUGCUGCCACCGCUGCUGCUGCUGCUGCUGCUAUGCCUGUCGGGAACCUCAUCGUCGCCGUCCCCGACGUCCUCAGAGCCCAGUGGGCAGGUCUGGUGGAUCUGCGCCUGCCUUAAGGAGAAGGCAAGGAGUGCCCCCGCCGCAUACCUCUGCGUCGGGCUCAGCACCGACGGCGCCAUAGCCGCUGAUUCCUCUCCCCAAACUCCCUUGUUCUGCCGCCGCCGUCAACCCUUCAAAAUUCCCACGAGGCGCAGGCACCGCGAUCACAGAGCCCCCACUCGAUCUGAGAAGCUCUCCGGCUCCGCAACUCGGGGCUGCGUCUCGCUCCUGCGUCACCCGUGUUGCCGCCACCUCGACCGGCGGGGGACUUCGUCUUCUCCGACUGGUCGUCUGCAUUAAACGCAACGGAAACGUGUCCACGCCCGGCGGAGGAAUUCUUUAUUUCCAGUCACUUAAAAUUUUAAAACACCCCAAUCCCCUCUUGACCGUUUCUAUCGCUGAAUUAAGAGUAAAAGGAAAAGACUAAAUUACCCCCCCCCUUCCCCCCAACACCACCAUUCAACAUGAGAAAUAUAUGGACUAGUCCCAUGGGCCCAAUUGCUCAUGUAAAUUUCUUAUAGGUUUGAUCAUAUCAAGCUGAAGUAGCAUAAGAUAUCAUAUCAAAAAAAUAAUGAAAACUUUUUGAUCUAGGUGACUCAUGCAGCCCAUUUGAAGUUUAAAUCUAGUAAAGCAAAAGGCCAAGAAACAUGAAAACUCAUUAAAGUAGGAGUUGGCCUGAUUACAAAAUUGGGUCCAUAAUACGACACAUUUUUAGAUGUGUUCAAUUUAAGAUUUUCCUUUUUAUUUUUAGCUUUUCUAUUUUGAAUCUCUUUCUAUUUUUAGGUCCUUUUCAUUUUAUUGUCCCCUCUAUUUUUAACUAUUUUUAUCUUCUUUCUCUUACUUUCUUCUUCUCCCUUCUAUUCUCGUCACCUUCUAUCAUUCUUCUUUGACUAUUUUCAAAUUCAGUUUUUAAUUCAAAUGUUGGUGCCCUUUUUUAUAGAUUGCAGCCCAAAAAUUAUUUCUAAUUUUUAUCAAUCUAUUUUCGGAGUUUUAAUCUCUACAAGUAGGUUAUAGUGCCCUCUAUGGACUAAGAAAAUUAUAUGAUCAUGUAGACCCAAGAUCAGACUCUUGUAGACUCAAGGAUCGAGAUCAUUUUAUGAAUCUUCACAAAAAUAUAAUAUUUUUGUAUAUUCAAAGAUGAGAUUUAAAUUAUUUACAACUCGAGUUAUGUCAAAUCAUUCAAAUCAUCACCAAGUUAACUAUGCUACAUCACAAGUUUUCAAUGUAAGGUAGUAAUCAUAGCUCCAUAAUUAAUAUAAUUAGUUAAUAUCUAAUGUUCUUUAUGCUAUGAGCUCCAUUGCCAAUUUAAGACAAUUCUAUGCUCGCUUUCAUAUAAAAUUCAGUUUCAUAGAUAACUAUUCUCGGCCAUGAUAGCACCAUGUGACUUAGAUUUGAGAAUUAACUUGUUUAGAGAGGGGAAGUUGACUUGAGAAUUUGUCACCAAUACAUUGUGAGUGGCAUCUGCUGAUUGUUUUCUACCAAAAAUUUGCAUUUAUGCUAAAUCCAUGUGUUGAUCUGUUGAGAUUUAAUAACAUUAUUAAGGAUUCAACACAUAAUGAGAACAAAAAUAGAAUAAGGUUUCAGAUGGGAGAGGAUGAUUGGAUCCAAAUAUUUCUUUUUAUUGGGGAUAUUAGGUAAUGGAUAACAUUUUAAACAUAACAAGUUAAACAUGCCUAAAAAAGAGAAUACCAUCUUAAUCUUAGAUUAUGGCAUUCAAAACUUUUUGGAGCAGGAGAAUAGCCAUAAGAAAUAUAUUGUCCCCCCAAAAAAGCAUUGUAGUAAUCCAUUAUUGGGUCCACCAAUCUAUUGCUGGGCCUACACAUACAUACAUGUGUUGCCCAUGACACAAGUCAUCUGAGUUGACAAUCUUGGUCUACUUCUCAUGACAAUGUCAAGCCCAAUCAAAAUUACUUCUUCUUGAAACUUCUCCAUUCCUCAUCUCCCAAAGAAGAGAAGAGGCAAAAGUGUACAACCAUGAUCAAGAUUUUAUGUUUAGUGAUUGCACAUAUAGCUUGUCAAUAACCCACAUCCACCUUGACUCAUCCACAUAUUAUGCAGCAACCGAAUGAGCCUGACUAGCCCAAGCCAAGAAGAUCAAAGUGGGUAGACCAUGUAAGACCCCAAUUAGGGUAAUCUAAAUGGCAUGCACAGCUUCAAAUUGCCCAUCUACUCUUUUCCUUCCGUUAGCACUCUUAUGUUUCCUUAUUUGUCAAGGGCAGGAAGAAGUAGCAAAGGUGAAAGUGAAUCUAAGACUUUCUCCAGCCACAUUGAAGCUCUUGAUCCAGGGGUCAAUGGGGACAGACUUCUUUGGGAGCUGGAUAUUAUGUGUUGGGUCAACCCACAUUAUGCAUCACCCACACUCCUUUUCUACGUUGUGCUUUUCUGCACUCUCCUCAUCCUGACUGGCCCCUACUAUACCCGCUGAUCAAACAAGGGGUUUUAUUAAAUGCUCCUCCUUAGUGGACUCCAAGAUUCUAUCUUUAGAAAAGGGGAAUGGACGCCACCCGAAAAAUGUCUGAAAGAAGAAGGUCAGUAAGAUCAUCUGGAUCAACCAUGGGUUCCCCAAUUGGGACACACCAGUGCCCCAAGACUCUGCCCACAAUUUUUUUGGGUAGAUGUGAGUAGAAAAUAAUGAUCUGGGUCUAAGGACAGAGUUCAGCACCAUGAAUAUCUCCCCUUCUUGCUCUGCUCACAUGAGGAAGCAAAUCUUAGCUGCCCAAUAAAAAGGGGAGGGGUAGGGGCAGCAGUCACAAAAAUUCCCCAUAUGAAGAAGUCAAAGCUUUCCAUUAUCGUCCACUAACAUCAAUCACUACCAGCUCUGCAAAAAAGAGAGCAAGCCAAAAUUCACCUCACCAUGAGGAUCAGAGUGACGGCAGCCUGCCAGGAGCGUUGACUGGAGUUGGCAGCAGCUGGAGAUUUUAGGAGGGAUUAAGCACAAAAUACUUAUGUUAGUUCUUCCUCUCAUCCGAAUCAGCAAUGGUCCCUGUUGCUGUGGGCACUACGGGCAUACCUACAAUAAAGAAAAAUAGCUGUACAAGGGUUUUACAGGCGUCGGAAAAUCCGCAGUCAUAUCCUCUCACAGUCGUCUCUGUUCAUCGGAAGUGCAUGUAGUUGCAGGCGUCCCCCUUCUUGCAGUGGCCGCGUUCGUAGAACUUGCAGAUGCCCACGUCCUGCCCUCUUGGCGCCCCCCA
This 9897-nucleotide long non-coding RNA is filed under the name Spirodela polyrhiza (greater duckweed). RNAcentral's name for it is "long non-coding RNA (SPOL_LNC001016)". Lineage: Eukaryota; Viridiplantae; Streptophyta; Magnoliopsida; Alismatales; Araceae. The record is from RNAcentral.